Gossypium arboreum is the source of this 1550-nucleotide long non-coding RNA. RefSeq lists it as uncharacterized. NCBI's taxonomy places the organism in Eukaryota, Viridiplantae, Streptophyta, Magnoliopsida, Malvales, Malvaceae. The transcript is spliced from 2 exons. The record is from RefSeq and is a predicted model, not a curated record.
UUUCCCCGGCAUUUAUUUUAUCUUUUUAAAAUUUUUUUUCCUUUCUGCCCAAAUCUGUUCUCAUUUUUCUUAGGGCUCAAGGUCUUUCUAUUCUUGGUUUUUUCAAAUGAAACCCUAAUUCCUUUUAAAUUACCCUUAGAUUCCUACAAUAUUUACUAAAGGAACCACUCAUUUUCAACUCUCUGAACAAAAAUGGAGGUAGUUAAUAGAGAGCGUGUGGUUUUCAUGUGGGAAUAUUUACCUGGAGCGUUACCGCAAUGAGCUCCGCUUGUAUCGCCGGUUCUUAUGCGGAUUCCGGAUUCCAUUGACCAUUCUUGGACCGACGUAUGCGGUGGCGGUUGUGGAUUCGCCAUGGCCAUUUCUGGUUGUUUUUCCUGUCUCUCUCUUUCUCGUUGGCUUUCCUCCCCUACUUUCCCUGAUUUUAAAUUUUAUUUCUUAUAAAAAUAUUUUAAAUUUUCGAUAAUGUAAUUGCGGCUUUUGGGCUGGUUGUUAGAUUUUGUACAUUUUGAUCUGUCUGGUUGCCAAGAAAAUGUAAAAGGACUGGGCGUUAUAAUUUGAUUUUUUCGUUGUUUUCAUUUUUGUUUUGCCAUGAAGUCAACUCACUUGACUCAAAUUAGCUAUGUUGAGUUCCUUCCUGCUCUUUUUAUUUACUGGUUUUGAGCUACAGGUUUUCUCUCUCUGUAUCUGUUCUCUAUAGUUUAAAAAGAUUUCAACUUGUUAAUAAAUUGUUAACAGAUGAUUAGAGCUCUGAACCGAAUUUCAAUUUAAUAUAUUUAGUUUUAAAAAACUUCCAUUUUUCUUAUUUUUGGCAUAUAAGAUAAUUUCUUUUAUGUAAUAACUUCUGUGAAGCUAACAUUAUAUUCUACUAAUGGUGGUUUUUUAUGCAAACCACACACCAUCCACUCCGAGGUGGCGCAGUGCUUGCUGCUUCCUUCGUUGCCUGUUUUCUGUGGUGCUUCGGAUCUGGAGCUCCGGCUGUUUGACGACCCAGCUGUUGGAGCUUCCAGGUCUUUGAACCGAAAGCAAAUUAAAGCUCAAGCUAGUCGAAUUGCUAAUCUGCUUCGCAAAACUGACGUUUCAUAUCUGAUUGGUCAUUACACAAUCCCUAAAGAGAUGAAUGAGGUCUGCAAUUGGCUUACAGCAAGGUUGGGGCUCGAGGGAUAAGGCUAAAUAUAGCCAAGAGUCAGGAAGCAAUAAAGGUGAAAAGAGAGAAAACUGCAUAUGUUACAAGUAGUUAGUAAACAAAAUGGAUUGUUAGGGUAUAUGGUAUACUUGGAUCUGGAUAUAUUUCACUACUUGGGGCUACCUUUGUAGAAAUAAGAGUUCAACAGAGUUUCUUGGAAUUGAAGUUGCAAUUUCAAAUUGUAUUAGCUUUUUUGUAGUACAACAUCAAUAUCAAUGUCCAUUGUCUUAGGUACUUUUUUAUUUGUUUACUUUUGUACAUUGAAUUGAAUGUUAGUGAUAUACAUUUAAGCUACAUGUUAGUGUAUUUUGAUUGUUGGAUCGAUUUUUGUAGUGAAUAUUCAAUUAUUAUUUUAAUUUUAAUUUUA